This 818-nucleotide ribosomal RNA is filed under the name uncultured archaeon. Its description in RNAcentral is "bacterial SSU rRNA". It matches the Rfam family "Archaeal small subunit ribosomal RNA", at positions 19 to 842 of the family's 1478-position model. The record is from RNAcentral.
GGAGGCCACUGCUAUUGGGAUCCGACUAAGCCAUGCGAGUCGAGAGGGUUCGGCCCUCGGCAGACUGCUCAGUAACACGUGGAUAAUCUACCCUUAGGUGGAGGAUACUCUCGGGAAACUGAGAAUAAUACUCCAUAGGUCUAGGAUGCUGGAAUGCACCUAGGUUGAAAGUUCCGGCGCCUAAGGACGAGUCUGCGGACUAUCAGGUAGUAGUCAGGGUAAAGACCUGACUAGCCUACGACGGAUACGGGUUGUGAGAGCAAUAGCCCGGAGACGAUAUCUGAGACACGAUAUCGGGCCCUACGGGGCGCAGCAGGCGCGAAAUCUUCACAAUGUGCGAAAGCACGAUGAGGGGAUCCCAAGUGUUGGUUCGUAAGAGCCAUCUGUUUCUUUGUCUAAAAAACAGAGAGAGUAAGAGCUGGGUAAGACGGGUGCCAGCCGCCGCGGUAAUACCUGCAGCUCAAGUGGUGGCCGCUAUUAUUGGGCCUAAAACGUCCGUAGCCGGUUUAGUAAAUGCCUGGGUAAAUUGUGUAGCUCAACUAUACGAAUACCGGGUAGACUGCUAAACUUGGAACCGGGAGAGGCUAGAGGUACUCCUAGGGUAGAGGUGAAAUUCUGUAAUCCUGGGGGGACCACCAGUGGCGAAGGCGUCUAGCUAGAACGGGUUUGACGGUGAGGGACGAAGCCCUGGGGCGCAAACCGGAUUAGAUACCCGGGUAGUCCANGGUGUAAACGCUGCUCGCUUGAUGUUAGUCGGGCUCCGAGCCCAACUAGUGUCGGANAGAAGUUGUUAAGCGAGCUGCCUGGGAAGUACGGUC